RNAcentral lists this ribosomal RNA (253 nucleotides) under uncultured bacterium. Its description in RNAcentral is "partial 16S ribosomal RNA". It matches the Rfam family "Bacterial small subunit ribosomal RNA", at positions 524 to 776 of the family's 1533-position model. The record is from RNAcentral.
UACGGAGGGUGCAAGCGUUAUCCGGAUUCACUGGGUUUAAAGGGUGCGUAGGCGGGCAGGUAAGUCCGUGGUGAAAUCUCUGAGCUUAACUCAGAAACUGCCAUGGAUACUAUUUGUCUUGAAUAUUGUGGAGGUAAGCGGAAUAUGUCAUGUAGCGGUGAAAUGCUUAGAUAUGACAUAGAACACCAAUUGCGAAGGCAGCUUACCACACAGUUAUUGACGCUGAGGCACGAAAGCGUGGGGAUCAAACAGG